Molecule: ribosomal RNA, 497 nt
Filed under: uncultured bacterium
Lineage: Bacteria
Description: partial 16S ribosomal RNA
Rfam family: Bacterial small subunit ribosomal RNA
Source: RNAcentral
GAUGAACGCUGGCGGCGUGCCUAAUACAUGCAAGUCGAGCGAACAGACGAGGCGCUUGCUCCUCUGACGUUAGCGGCGGACGGGUGAGUAACACGUGGAUAGCCUACCUAUAAGACUGGGAUAACUUCGGGAAACCGGAGCUAAUACCGGAUAAUAUAUUGAACCGCAUGGUUCAAUAGUGAAAGACGGUUUUGCUGUCACUUAUAGAUGGAUCCGCGCCGCAUUAGCUAGUUGGUAAGGUAACGGCUUACCAAGGCAACGAUGCGUAGCCGACCUGAGAGGGUGAUCGGCCACACUGGAACUGAGACACGGUCCAGACUCCUACGGGAGGCAGCAGUAGGGAAUCUUCCGCAAUGGGCGAAAGCCUGACGGAGCAACGCCGCGUGAGUGAUGAAGGUCUUCGGAUCGUAAAACUCUGUUAUUAGGGAAGAACAAAUGUGUAAGUAACUAUGCACGUCUUGACGGUACCUAAUCAGAAAGCCACGGCUAACUACGUG